RNAcentral lists this transfer RNA (72 nucleotides) under Fibrobacter sp. Its description in RNAcentral is "tRNA-Gly". It matches the Rfam family "tRNA". From Rfam's summary of the family: Transfer RNA (tRNA) molecules are approximately 80 nucleotides in length. Their secondary structure includes four short double-helical elements and three loops (D, anti-codon, and T loops). Lineage: Bacteria; Pseudomonadati; Fibrobacterota; Fibrobacteria; Fibrobacterales; Fibrobacteraceae. RNAcentral also lists the same sequence under 1 other name. The record is from RNAcentral.
GCGAGAGUAGCUCAGUGGUAGAGCUCUACCUUGCCAAGGUAGCUGUCGCGAGUUCAAAUCUCGUCUCUCGCU